GACGAACGCUGGCGGCGUGCUUAACACAUGCAAGUCGAACGGAAAGGCCCUGCUUUUGUGGGGUGCUCGAGUGGCGAACGGGUGAGUAACACGUGAGUAACCUGCCCUUGACUUUGGGAUAACUUCAGGAAACUGGGGCUAAUACCGGAUAGGAGCUCCUGCUGCAUGGUGGGGGUUGGAAAGUUUCGGCGGUUGGGGAUGGACUCGCGGCUUAUCAGCUUGUUGGUGGGGUAGUGGCUUACCAAGGCUUUGACGGGUAGCCGGCCUGAGAGGGUGACCGGCCACAUUGGGACUGAGAUACGGCCCAGACUCCUACGGGAGGCAGCAGUGGGGAAUAUUGCACAAUGGGCGGAAGCCUGAUGCAGCAACGCCGCGUGCGGGAUGACGGCCUUCGGGUUGUAAACCGCUUUCGCCUGUGACGAAGCGUGAGUGACGGUAAUGGGUAAAGAAGCACCGGCUAACUACGUGCCAGCAGCCGCGGUGAUACGUAGGGUGCGAGCGUUGUCCGGAUUUAUUGGGCGUAAAGGGCUCGUAGGUGGUUGAUCGCGUCGGAAGUGUAAUCUUGGGGCUUAACCCUGAGCGUGCUUUCGAUACGGGUUGACUUGAGGAAGGUAGGGGAGAAUGGAAUUCCUGGUGGAGCGGUGGAAUGCGCAGAUAUCAGGAGGAACACCAGUGGCGAAGGCGGUUCUCUGGGCCUUUCCUGACGCUGAGGAGCGAAAGCGUGGGGAGCGAACAGGCUUAGAUACCCUGGUAGUCCACGCUGUAAACGGUGGGUACUAGGUGUGGGGUCCAUUCCACGGGUUCCGUGCCGUAGCUAACGCUUUAAGUACCCCGCCUGGGGAGUACGGCCGCAAGGUUAAAACUCAAAGGAAUUGACGGGGCCCCGCACAAGCGGCGGAGCAUGCGGAUUAAUUCGAUGCAACGCGUAGAACCUUACCUGGGUUUGACAUGGAUCGGGAGUGCUCAGAGAUGGGUGUGCCUCUUUUGGGGUCGGUUCACAGGUGGUGCAUGGCUGUCGUCAGCUCGUGUCGUGAGAUGUUGGGUUAAGUCCCGCAACGAGCGCAACCCUUGUUCACUGUUGCCAGCACGUUAUGGUGGGGACUCAGUGGAGACCGCCGGGGUCAACUCGGAGGAAGGUGGGGAUGACGUCAAGUCAUCAUGCCCCUUAUGUCCAGGGCUUCACGCAUGCUACAAUGGCUGGUACAGAGAGUGGCGAGCCUGUGAGGGUGAGCGAAUCUCGGAAAGCCGGUCUCAGUUCGGAUUGGGGUCUGCAACUCGACCUCAUGAAGUCGGAGUCGCUAGUAAUCGCAGAUCAGCAACGCUGCGGUGAAUACGUUCCCGGG
RNAcentral lists this ribosomal RNA (1343 nucleotides) under uncultured bacterium. RNAcentral describes it as "16S ribosomal RNA". It matches the Rfam family "Bacterial small subunit ribosomal RNA", at positions 28 to 1378 of the family's 1533-position model. The record is from RNAcentral.